This 253-nucleotide ribosomal RNA is filed under the name uncultured bacterium. RNAcentral describes it as "partial 16S ribosomal RNA". It matches the Rfam family "Bacterial small subunit ribosomal RNA", at positions 524 to 776 of the family's 1533-position model. The record is from RNAcentral.
UACGAGAGGUGCAAGCGUUAUUCGGAAUUAUUGGGUGUAAAGGGUGCGUAGGCGGCUUUUUAAGUCAUCUGUUAAAUCUUCCGGCUUAACCGGAAGCUCGCGGGUGAUACUAUUAGGCUAGAGUAUGGAAGAGAGAAGUGGAAUUCUCGGAGUAGCGGUAAAAUGCGUAGAUCUCGAGAGGAACACCAAUGGCGAAGGCAGCUUCUUGGUCCAUUACUGACGCUCAGGCACGAAAGCGUGGGGAGCAAACAGG